AGCGAACGCUGGCGGCAGGCUUAACACAUGCAAGUCGAGCGCCCCGCAAGGGGAGCGGCAGACGGGUGAGUAACACGUGGGAACGUGCCUUUUUGGUUCGGAACAACCCAGGGAAACUUGGGCUAAUACCGGAUAAGCCCUUACGGGGAAAGAUUUAUCGCCAAAAGAUCGGCCCGCGUCUGAUUAGCUAGUUGGUGGGGUAAUGGCCCACCAAGGCUACGAUCAGUAGCUGGUCUGAGAGGANGAUCAGCCACAUUGGGACUGAGACA
This 269-nucleotide ribosomal RNA is filed under the name uncultured bacterium. RNAcentral's name for it is "partial 16S ribosomal RNA". It matches the Rfam family "Bacterial small subunit ribosomal RNA", at positions 29 to 326 of the family's 1533-position model. The record is from RNAcentral.